Molecule: ribosomal RNA, 576 nt
Filed under: uncultured eukaryote
Lineage: Eukaryota
Description: SSU rRNA
Rfam family: Eukaryotic small subunit ribosomal RNA
Source: RNAcentral
UAAAAACCCCGACUUCGGAAGGGGUGUAUUUAUUAGAUACAAAACCAAUGCCCUUCGGGGCUCUUUGGUGAUUCAUGAUAACUAUACGAAUCGCACGGCCUUGCGCCGGCGAUGGUUCAUUCAAAUUUCUUCCCUAUCAACUUUCGAUGUUUGGGUAUUGGCCAAACAUGGUUGCAACGGGUAACGGAGGGUUAGGGCUCGACCCCGGAGAAGGAGCCUGAGAAACGGCUACUACAUCCAAGGAAGGCAGCAGGCGCGCAAAUUACCCAAUCCCGACUCGGUGAGGUAGUGACAAUAAAUACUGAUACAGGGCCCUUUCGGGCCUUGUAAUUGGAAUGAGUACAAUUUAAAUCCCUUAACGAGGAACAAUUGGAGGGCAAGUCUGGUGCCAGCAGCCGCGGUAAUUCCAGCUCCAAUAGCGUAUAUUAAAGUUGUUGUGGUUAAAAAGCUCGUAGUUGAACCUUGGGCCUGGCUGGCCGGUCCGCCUCACCGCGUGCACUGGUCCGGCCGGGCCUUUCCCUCUGUGGAACCCCAUACCCUUCACUGGGCGUGGCGGGGAAACAGGACAUUUACUUU